AGUGAACGCUGGCGGUAGGCCUAACACAUGCAAGUCGAACGGCAGCACAGAGGAGCUUGCUCCUUGGGUGGCGAGUGGCGGAUGGGUGAGGAAUACAUCGGAAUCUACUCUGUCGUGGGGGAUAACGUAGGGAAACUUACGCUAAUACCGCAUACGACCUACGGGUGAAAGCAGGGGAUCUUCGGACCUUGCGCGAUUGAAUGAGCCGAUGUCGGAUUAGCUAGUUGGCGGGGUAAAGGCCCACCAAGGCGACGAUCCGUAGCUGGUCUGAGAGGAUGAUCAGCCACACUGGAACUGAGACACGGUCCAGACUCCUACGGGAGGCAGCAGUGGGGAAUAUUGGACAAUGGGCGCAAGCCUGAUCCAGCCAUACCGCGUGGGUGAAGAAGGCCUUCGGGUUGUAAAGCCCUUUUGUUGGGAAAGAAGUCCAGCCGGCUAAUACCUGGUUGGGAUGACGGUACCCAAAGAAUAAGCACCGGCUAACUUCGUGCCAGCAGCCGCGGUAAUACGAAGGGUGCAAGCGUUACUCGGAAUUACUGGGCGUAAAGCGUGCGUAGGUGGUUAUUUAAGUCCGUUGUGAAAGCCCUGGGCUCAACCUGGGAACUGCAGUGGAUACUGGAUGACUAGAAUGUGGUAGAGGGUAGCGGAAUUCCUGGUGUAGCAGUGAAAUGCGUAGAGAUCAGGAGGAACAUCCAUGGCGAAGGCAGCCACCUGGACCAACAUUGACACUGAGGCACGAAAGCGUGGGGAGCAAACAGG
Molecule: ribosomal RNA, 759 nt
Filed under: uncultured Stenotrophomonas sp.
Lineage: Bacteria; Pseudomonadati; Pseudomonadota; Gammaproteobacteria; Lysobacterales; Lysobacteraceae
Description: bacterial SSU rRNA
Rfam family: Bacterial small subunit ribosomal RNA
Source: RNAcentral